Long non-coding RNA from Notothenia coriiceps (black rockcod), 2599 nucleotides. RefSeq lists it as uncharacterized. The transcript is spliced from 2 exons. NCBI's taxonomy places the organism in Eukaryota, Metazoa, Chordata, Actinopteri, Perciformes, Nototheniidae. The record is from RefSeq and is a predicted model, not a curated record.
GAGCUUAACUUCCUGUGGAAACACUCGUGAUGACGUCACCAACGACGAAUCGACGACUGAAUUAGUCGGGCAACUAAUUCUUGGUCAUCGAUUAAGUGGAUUAGUUGUUGCACCCCUAUUAUACAUCCACCCUGCUUCCCUUUGCUGUCCAAUAUGAUAACCAAAGGGGUAGGACCACAUCAUGCACCACUGCACUCAGCUUUCAAGCUGGUCCAUCUGGUCGAGGCUCACAGCUUUUCUCUCCUUCUCUCCCCAAUAGAGCUAUGUCUUUCAGGCGUCGACCCGGAGGUAGGAGAACCAAAACGCUUGGCCUGCACCUAUCCCCCUGUCCAAAAAGAAAACGAGGUUCCACUAGACUCUUGGCCCGUGGUUACCUUAACACCUUUAUGUAUGUGUGCCCACCAACAAGCCACCAUCCUUGCCUACCGCCCGACACCCCUGUUAUGCCAUGUAUUUCCUUCCCUUGUGUCCACUUCCUCAAGAACAAACGUCACGGCUCACCUCAGUUUUUGCUGACGUAAGCCUAAGCCAUGAUAUCUGCCUUUAAAAUGGCUGGCCUUCCUCUCCUUCUCUCCCUCGUCUCCAUCAAUAAAGUAAACCAGUUAUCGUGAUAGAAAACAGAACUAGACUUGGGAACCAUGUUCUCCAUUCCUUACAGAUUAGUGGGGAUUAAGGGAAAGGGUAGCCGAGGGAUGAUGCAUUGUUAUGGUGAGGGGGCUACAUUAGUAUGUGCAUCGAGAAGUCACAGUCACCCCCCAUGUGCUGAACCCUGAUACCCGGGAGUGUGGAGUCCUUUCCUGGCAUGAUGCCUGGACACCCCUCCUCUGUGUCCAGUGAGGAUUGGGGUUGGGGAAGCCAUGUUGACUUCAGCUCAUGGGAGUAACAGUAUGACCCUGUUUGUUUCAGGGUGCCUAGUGAGGGAGAGGCCAGCCGGCAAGGACAGAAACCCCAAGAAGUGUGUCAGGCGACACUAAGGAGGACGGCAGUCGGGACUCGAAGCCUCGCUCGCUCCGCUUCACCUGGAGCAUGAAGACCACCUCCUCCAUGGAGCCCGCCGAGAUGAUGAGGGAGAUCCGAAAGGUUCUGGACGCCAACAGCUGCGAUUACGAGCAGCGCGAACGCUUCCUGCUGUUCUGUGUCCACGGCGACGCUCGCCAGGACAACCUGGUCCAAUGGGAGAUGGAGGUGUGCAAGCUGCCCCGCCUCUCCCUCAACGGCGUGCGCUUCAAGAGGAUAUCGGGCACGUCCAUCGCCUUUAAGAAUAUCGCCUGCAAAAUUGCCAAUGAGCUCAAACUGUGACGGCAGAUGGAGUCGCGGUCAGUCUCAUCUCAUCACUGGAUUAGUGUUGACUUACAGGACAAAAUUCAGCACUGAAGGUCCUCACCUCGCAGAAUCAGGGUGGACUCGGCUGGUAACGUGCAAUACUGGCCAUGAAUGUACUGUACAGGGUAGUGGAUCAGAGAGGAAACGCAAGGUUUAACCUCUGUGACGGAGAGAUAGCAAAAACAGCUUACCCCUUUCUCUUUUUUUUUUCUUCGUCCGGCCCUCUGCCUCUCUCAUCAGCCCGCUGCUCCUCGUUAUAGCACACAUUCAAGUAACAAAUGCAGUAUGCAACUGAAGAUGACCAUCCUGCAAUAAUGUUUUCAAUCUCUUUUUCUAAACGCCUACUUCACGAUCUACUCUCCUCGCUGAAUAACCAUUAAAGUUACUGAAAGCUAAAAUAGCCGCUUUUCCACCUGUGUUAAGUCAGUAUAUAGAUCAGGCUGGAUCCCGUACUAAAACUAUGUAAAAAGAGAAUUGUACUGUAUGCAUAACAUCUGCAGGUACUGUAUUGUAUAUUCAUUUUGCGUUCUGUACAGAAAUGUAUUGUCAAUGUCUUUUUUCAUGGAUUUUAGUUUUUUCCUAACAUUAUUGAUGUCUCUUAAGCAUUAUCGUUUCAGUCUGUGAGGUUUAUUUUAUUUUAAUUUUUUUUUAAGAGCCACCAUCUGAAAAUAGUGUUUUUUAUUUUAUUUAAAGAGCACUAAAUUAUUUUGUGGAGUAUUAAGGGAUGUGUUCCCUUGCCUUUUAUGUUAUAUUUUAUUUGCCUAUGGAAAAAAACACUAAGUUGCACCACAUAGACUUGAGUAGUAACUUUGGUUCAAACUGAAAAUGUGUUCACUUUAUUUCCUUUCAGCAGUAGGUGAUGUGGAGAUCCUGCUGCAAUUGCACAAGUUUUCCUGGGUGAUGUGUAUGAACAUGAGAGUAUGCGCCUGUAUUUCUUUCAUGUUAGUUUGGUAGUCCUCAAUUACAAAACAAAGCAGGGUUUAGUUUGGUGUGCUUUAGAAAGCGGAGGACGAAACGUCUUUACCCAGAGGAGUGAAGAUGCAUGAAAAGUCAAACAAUCACCUGAAAGAAGCAGUUUCUAAAGAGCCCGAUUUAAUCCUGCCACCCGUGUGAUUGUGCAGGUACUUGUGUAUCUCCUUGCUUGUGUUUCUCUUUCUUUCUUUUUUUUUCCCAGCGGAUUUUAUUGUAUUUAUUCCAUUACAUUGUAAUGUGCUGCUUUGUAGAAUUGAGGCGUGCACUUUGUUGGAGAAAAUAAAAAGGAUUUUAUUUGUUUGUA